This 301-nucleotide ribosomal RNA is filed under the name uncultured bacterium. RNAcentral describes it as "partial 16S ribosomal RNA". It matches the Rfam family "Bacterial small subunit ribosomal RNA", at positions 509 to 807 of the family's 1533-position model. The record is from RNAcentral.
CAGUAGCCGCGGUAAAACGUAGGGCGCAAGCGUUGUCCGGAAUUAUUGGGCGUAAAGAGCUCGUAGGCGGUCUGUCGCGUCUGGUGUGAAAUCCCGAGGCUCAACCUCGGGCUUGCAUCGGGUACGGGCAGACUAGAGUGCGGUAGGGGAGACUGGAAUUCCUGGUGUAGCGGUGGAAUGCGCAGAUAUCAGGAGGAACACCGAUGGCGAAGGCAGGUCUCUGGGCCGCAACUGACGCUGAGGAGCGAAAGCAUGGGGAGCGAACAGGAUUAGAUACCCGUGUAGUCCCUGUCUCUUAUAC